AAUUUGGCUAAUAUCAAAGUGAAGAAAUUCAAUGAAGCAUGGGUAAAUGGCAGGAGUAACUAUGACUCUCUUAAGGUAGCCAAAUGCCUCGUCAUCUAAUUAGUGAUGCACAUGAAUGGAU
This 121-nucleotide non-coding RNA is filed under the name Dipodomys ordii (Ord's kangaroo rat). RNAcentral's name for it is "Eukaryotic large subunit ribosomal RNA". It matches the Rfam family "Eukaryotic large subunit ribosomal RNA", at positions 2204 to 2324 of the family's 3401-position model. The record is from Rfam by way of RNAcentral. Lineage: Eukaryota; Metazoa; Chordata; Mammalia; Rodentia; Heteromyidae.